GGGCCCGCACAAGCGGUGGAGCAUGUGGUUUAAUUCGAUGCAACGCGAAGAACCUUACCAGGGCUUGACAUACUGCAAAUCUUUUUUAAACGAAAGAGUGCCUUCGGGAAUGCAGAUACAGGUGGUGCAUGGCUGUCGUCAGCUCGUGUCGUGAGAUGUUGGGUUAAGUCCCGCAACGAGCGCAACCCUCGUUUUUAGUUACCAAUUUAUUGGAAUCUCUAGAAAGACUGCCGGUGACAAACCGGAGGAAGGUGAGGAUGACGUCAAGUCAGCAUGCCCCUUAUGUCCUGGGCCACACACGUGCUACAAUGGCAAGACAAAGAGUCGCAAACCUGCAAAGGCUAG
This 345-nucleotide ribosomal RNA is filed under the name uncultured bacterium. Its description in RNAcentral is "bacterial SSU rRNA". It matches the Rfam family "Bacterial small subunit ribosomal RNA", at positions 917 to 1267 of the family's 1533-position model. The record is from RNAcentral.